AAGUCGUAACAAGGUAGCCGUACCGGAAGGUGCGGCUGGAUCAUAAGGAGCACCACGAAGAGCACUCCAAUUGGUGGGGUGCGAGCCGUGAGGGGUCAUCGUCUGUAGUGGACGAAGACCGGGUGCACGACAACAAGCUAAGCCAGACACACUAUUGGGUCCUGAGGCAACACCCUCGGGUGCUGUCCCCCCAUCUUGGUGGUGGGGUGUGGUGUUUGAGAAUUGGAUAGUGGUUGCGAGCAUCAAAAUGUAUGUGUUGUCGUUCGCGGCAACGUGUUCUUUUUGUGC
Molecule: unclassified non-coding RNA, 288 nt
Filed under: Mycobacterium gordonae
Lineage: Bacteria; Bacillati; Actinomycetota; Actinomycetes; Mycobacteriales; Mycobacteriaceae
Description: partial 16S-23S ribosomal RNA intergenic spacer region
Source: RNAcentral